AAAAGCUCCAUUCCUGCCUCUGAUGACACCUAUCCAGAAAUAGAAAAGUUUUUUCCUUUCAAUCCUCUAGACUUUGAGAGUUUUGACCUGCCUGAAGAGCACCAGAUCGCACAGCUCCCCUUGACUGGAGUGCCUCUCAUGGUCCUCGACGAGGAGAGAGGACUUGAAAAGCUGUUGCAGCUGGGCCCCCUUCACCUGUGAAGAUGCCACCUGCACCGUGGGAAUCUAAUCUGUUGCAGUCUCCCUCGAGCAUACUCUCUACCCUGGAUGUUGAAUUGCCACCUGUGUGUUAUGACCUAGAUACUUAAAUUUCUUAAUGUGUUAUAGCUUGUGUAUGUUGUAUUAAUAAAGAAUUCCUUUGUUUAGCA
RNAcentral lists this long non-coding RNA (368 nucleotides) under Castor canadensis (American beaver). RNAcentral describes it as "lncRNA (ENSCCNG00000009570.1)". Lineage: Eukaryota; Metazoa; Chordata; Mammalia; Rodentia; Castoridae. The record is from RNAcentral.